RNAcentral lists this long non-coding RNA (845 nucleotides) under Callithrix jacchus (white-tufted-ear marmoset). RNAcentral's name for it is "lncRNA (ENSCJAG00000081730.1)". Lineage: Eukaryota; Metazoa; Chordata; Mammalia; Primates; Cebidae. The record is from RNAcentral.
GAAGGUUGGAAAAGAUGAUAAACAAAGACUGCUAUUAUAAUAAAUUUCCUAGUCUCUACCCACUAAUAUCUUUUACAAUCCCAAUAUCAGGAAAAAAGGAAGAGAAAAUUCUGUAAAUAAUUAUUAUAUUCUUCUCUUAAAGUAAGCCACUGAAUUCAAAAUUCUCUAACACAUUUGUGGAAACUUCAUUUUUCUUGUUUGAGAUUUAUUUGAAUGAGCUGUUAUGAUUGGAGACAGUGAGAAUUUCAGAUUAAUGUUUUGCAGACAAAAAAAAAAAAAACCUCUCUGGAAAGCUGGCAAGUGUUCAUAAGUCAGCCCUAGAAUUAUGUAGGUUGAAGGCUCCCAGUGGACAGACCAAACAUAUAAGAAGGAAACCAGAGAUCUGGUGCUAUUACGUCCCAGCGUCUGAGAGAACAAGUAAGCACAGAAUUCAAAGCAUUCUGCAGCCUGAAUUUUUAAGGAGUACAUUUAGGCACUAAGCAAGCUGAUUUAUGAUAACUGCUUUAAACUUCAACAAGCAGUAAGUCUUCAAGUGGAAUUUAUUAUUGAUUCUUUUAUGUUAAUUUGUUAGGUCAAAGGAAAAAGCUUUAGAGAAAAAUAAAAGUUUUGCUCUUUAUUAGGAGGUUCUUUGGUUACUACAGUUUUAAUUGGGUAGUUUAUUUGUAUGUAUUUUGAAACUAUCUGAAGUAAAUAAUAUUUCCUUAGUAUGCUUAUCUUUAGCUAUUUUUUUGUUUCAAAAUAAUGUUUCUAGUGAAAAAAAUCACAAAACCUGAACACUGUAACAUUUGAGAGCAAUGGCUAUUUAGUUCUGUUAUACUGAAAAGAGAACAAAAGAAAAAUAAGAC